GCGGAAGUGGCGGAACUGGCAGACGCACCAGCUUGAGGGGCUGGCGGUGGCAACAUCGUAGGGGUUCGAAUCCCCUCUUCCGCACCA
RNAcentral lists this transfer RNA (87 nucleotides) under Acidobacteriota bacterium. RNAcentral's name for it is "Acidobacteria bacterium (hydrothermal vent metagenome) tRNA-Leu". It matches the Rfam family "tRNA". From Rfam's summary of the family: Transfer RNA (tRNA) molecules are approximately 80 nucleotides in length. Their secondary structure includes four short double-helical elements and three loops (D, anti-codon, and T loops). Further hydrogen bonds mediate the characteristic L-shaped molecular structure. tRNAs have two regions of fundamental functional importance: the anti-codon, which is responsible for specific mRNA codon recognition, and the 3' end, to which the tRNAs corresponding amino acid is attached (by aminoacyl-tRNA synthetases). tRNAs cope with the degeneracy of the genetic code in two manners: having more than one tRNA (with a specific anti-codon) for a particular amino acid; and 'wobble' base-pairing, i.e. permitting non-standard base-pairing at the 3rd anti-codon position. Lineage: Bacteria; Pseudomonadati; Acidobacteriota. The record is from RNAcentral. RNAcentral also lists the same sequence under 3 other names.